Molecule: transfer RNA, 76 nt
Filed under: Martinezella rhizogenes
Lineage: Bacteria; Pseudomonadati; Pseudomonadota; Alphaproteobacteria; Hyphomicrobiales; Rhizobiaceae
Also listed under: 78 other names
Description: Agrobacterium rhizogenes tRNA-Lys
Rfam family: tRNA
About the family: Transfer RNA (tRNA) molecules are approximately 80 nucleotides in length. Their secondary structure includes four short double-helical elements and three loops (D, anti-codon, and T loops).
Source: RNAcentral
GAGAGCGUAGCUCAGCUGGUAGAGCAACUGACUUUUAAUCAGUAGGUCUCGGGUUCGAACCCCGACGCUCUCACCA